UGCUCUUGCAAAACACGAAUAAGAGGUCCCGCCUGCCCUGUGACUAUAAGUUUAACGGCCGCGGUAUUUUGACCGUGCGAAGGUAGCGCAAUCACUUGUCUUUUAAAUGGAGACCUGUAUGAAUGGCACGACGAGGGCUUAGCUGUCUCCUUUUUCCAGUCAAUGAAAUUGAUCUCCCCGUGCAGAAGCGGGGAUUUACACAUAAGACGAGAAGACCCUAUGGAGCUUUAGACACCAAGACAGAUCAUGUUAAACACCCCUAAAUAUAGGACUAAACCAGAUGAAUCCUGCCCUAGUGUCUUUGGUUGGGGCGACCGCGGGGAAACACAAAACCCCCACGUGGAAUGGGAAUACCCCUCCUACAACCUAGAGCCCCCGCUCUAGUAAACAGAAUUUCUGACCAAACAGAUCCGGCAACGCCGAUCAACGGACCGAGUUACCCUAGGGAUAACAGCGCAAUCCCCUUCUAGAGCCCAUAUCGACAAGGGGGUUUACGACCUCGAUGUUGGAUCAGGACAUCCUAAUGGUGCAGCCGCUAUUAAGGGUUCGUUUGUUCAACGAUUAAAG
RNAcentral lists this ribosomal RNA (567 nucleotides) under Prionurus scalprum (scalpel sawtail). Its description in RNAcentral is "partial 16S ribosomal RNA". It matches the Rfam family "Bacterial large subunit ribosomal RNA", at positions 1824 to 2593 of the family's 2925-position model. The record is from RNAcentral. Lineage: Eukaryota; Metazoa; Chordata; Actinopteri; Acanthuriformes; Acanthuridae.